GUAAUGGUUCAUUUAUAAAAAACACACGAUAUCAAAAUCGACAUUUAGCCCAAUAGGGCUAAAAGUCUUGAGAUUAAAAAUCCCAAAACCUUCUCUUUGGCGUAAUUUCCUAAUUAAAUCACCUCCUCUAUCAUCCAAUGUAACCUUUUCUAAACCCGUGCACGAAAAAGUAUCAAACUUGAAAUCAGGACAAUUAUUACAAUGUACUGGUACAGAGUGAGUAAUUAAGUGUUUCUUUAUAUUAUUACAAUGUUCCAUAAAUCUAAUUUUUAGAGCUCUACUGGUUCUCCCUACAUACUGGAUGCCACAUCCACAAGUUAAAAGAUACACUACAUUAGUGGUGUUGCAGUUAAUAUAAUCAUUUAUUUUAAAAAAGUUCUCCUGUUUUAUAACUUUUAAAAUGUUGUGUUUUUUAGGUAAAAAUUUACAACCCUUGCAUCUACCAGAUUUGUAGAAUCCCUUUAGGGAUGUGGCUUCUGUUUUCUUUGAUUUAAACGUGCUAGGAGCUUUAGGAGCAUAUAUAUGCUAUAAUUUGUAGGUUAUUUUACUAGUAUUCCAGUUAAGAAUAUUAAGAUGUGCCUGUUGAUGUUCUUCCCAUUUAAAUGAUUACUCUAACUCAGGGGCUCCCAAUUAAUUUUUCCCGUGGAACCCUUUUACAUAAUGCGCUAACAGCGUGGAACGUCAAAAAUGUUUGGGCAUACACAAACAAAUUAACACACAUAUAAAAACAUUGACACAUUAUUAUUAUUUUAUUAUUUAUAUAGCGCCAGCAAAUUCUGUAGCGCACACGUACACACACUAAAAUAUAUACACAGACACAAAGAUAUACACCUUGACACACAUUAGGGCACACACACACCAAUACACACAUACUGACAUACACUCAGAUACACAUAGUGACACAUACACAAACCUUGGCACACAGAUACACACACUCAGAAGCGCAUAUUGGCACAUACAAACACACCAACACACACACUGGCACAUAUAAACACACUGAUACAGACAUACUGACAUAUACACACACUGACACAUACACACACACCUUGACACAUAUACACACACUCAGAUACACACAUUGACACAUGCACAAAACAUUACACAGAUACGCACAUACACACAAUGACCCAUACAAACAUAUACAGGGAGUGCAGAAUUAUUAGGCAAGUUGUAUUUUUGAGGAUUAAUUUUAUCAUUGAACAACAACCAUGUUCUCAAUGAACCCAAAAAACUCAUUAAUAUCAAAGCUGAAUAUUUUUGGAAGUAGUUUUUAGUUUGUUUUUAGUUAUAGCUAUGUUAGGGGGAUAUCUGUG
Molecule: non-coding RNA, 1313 nt
Organism: Pelobates cultripes (western spadefoot toad)
Lineage: Eukaryota; Metazoa; Chordata; Amphibia; Anura; Pelobatidae
Source: the annotation of a GenBank genome assembly